GGGUUGUGAGGUUAAGCGACUAAGCGUACACGGUGGAUGCCCUGGCAGUCAGAGGCGAUGAAGGACGUGCUAAUCUGCGAUAAGCGCCGGUAAGGUGAUAUGAACCGUUAUAACCGGCGAUUUCCGAAUGGGGAAACCCAGUGUGAUUCGUCACACUAUCAUUAACUGAAUCCAUAGGUUAAUGAGGCGAACCGGGGGAACUGAAACAUCUAAGUACCCCGAGGAAAAGAAAUCAACCGAGAUUCCCCCAGUAGCGGCGAGCGAACGGGGAGGAGCCCAGAGCCUGAAUCAGCAUGUGUGUUAGUGGAAGCGUCUGGAAAGGCGCGCGAUACAGGGUGACAGCCCCGUACACAAAAGCGCAUGUGCUGUGAGCUCGAUGAGUAGGGCGGGACACGUGGUAUCCUGUCUGAAUAUGGGGGGACCAUCCUCCAAGGCUAAAUACUCCUGACUGACCGAUAGUGAACCAGUACCGUGAGGGAAAGGCGAAAAGAACCCCGGCGAGGGGAGUGAAAAAGAACCUGAAACCGUGUACGUACAAGCAGUGGGAGCACAGGUUUACCUGUGUGACUGCGUACCUUUUGUAUAAUGGGUCAGCGACUUAUAUUCUGUAGCAAGGUUAACCGAAUAGGGGAGCCGGAGGGAAACCGAGUCUUAA
This 655-nucleotide ribosomal RNA is filed under the name Salmonella enterica subsp. enterica serovar Infantis. RNAcentral's name for it is "bacterial LSU rRNA". It matches the Rfam family "Bacterial large subunit ribosomal RNA", at positions 1 to 687 of the family's 2925-position model. The record is from RNAcentral. Lineage: Bacteria; Pseudomonadati; Pseudomonadota; Gammaproteobacteria; Enterobacterales; Enterobacteriaceae.